CGCGCACAUGGCAGCGCGGGGUGGUAAGUAACAUCCAACCGAGGGGUGUGUUGACAUUACCGCUGCUGAAUGCAACGUGUCAUUCAGUGCCAGUUGUAUCCGCAUGCGGAUACUUUUAAGGACUGUGGUGAACUUCAGUUGUGGUUAAGCGGUUCCCAAACUCCGACCCACUCACCUCCUCUGACACCGACGCUGGGCUGCAGUUUGGCCGCUAAGAUGACCAGCACUAUCCCGAUGAUGAACCACUCCUUCCGUAUCCUCGCCAAGAGGCCCAUGUUUCAGCCCCGGGGUUCACCGGAUCACCCCGCCGGGCCCCUGUCACACCAGCCGGACCCAAGUUGUACAACUCCUCAGCUUCUCCUCUGGAGGUUUUUCUGUCAGGAAACAGAAGCAGCGCAACCGGAGCUUUUUUUCCGGACACAUGGGCCUGACCAGGCCGUAAAGACUGAAGGAGAGGCGCAGCAGUUUUUUUUUCCGAUUACCGCGUUACAGGUAACAAAACGGUUCGUCUGGAGUGUUGCGGCUUCCCACCGUCUCGUUUCUCUCCUAAAUGAUGAGUAACAUUGACUAUUCAAGUUUCAGCAUCAUGGUUUUUAUUAUUAUUCAGACCUUCAUCCUCCUCCUCU
Long non-coding RNA from Xiphias gladius (swordfish), 626 nucleotides. RefSeq lists it as uncharacterized. The transcript has 3 exons. The record is from RefSeq and is a predicted model, not a curated record. NCBI's taxonomy places the organism in Eukaryota, Metazoa, Chordata, Actinopteri, Istiophoriformes, Xiphiidae.